ACAAUUCUUGAAGUAUGUUGUAAGUGUGAAUCUAUGGUCUAUGGAUGUAUACCUAUAUGGUCAAUGUUGUUUUCUUGUUGUCUGUCUGUUUUAUAUGUUUUGCUUGUUCUUCCUUAAUGGAAGCUUCUACCUAGCCCAAGCUUCACCUAGGAAGGCAGGGGGAGGGACAGCGGCUUGGAUUCGAACCCUGGACCGUCGAGACGAAGCACACAUUUGUUUUGCAAUUUUCGUUUACAUCAUUGAAUUAUCUUUGCGAUUAAGGAGGACAUGUGCAUUUUUGUUCAUUGGUUAUACACUUAAAUCAAUACAAUAUUAAUUCUUGUUUCAGAUU
This is a non-coding RNA of Biomphalaria pfeifferi, 331 nucleotides long. Lineage: Eukaryota; Metazoa; Mollusca; Gastropoda; Planorbidae. The record is from the annotation of a GenBank genome assembly.